CGGUAAGGGUGAAACGGUGGGGUAAGAGCCCACCAGCGCCGCGGUGACGCGGCGGCUCGUCAAACCCCGUCCGGUGCAAGGUGAAGCAGAUCCCGUCGACGCGGCCCGCCGAGGGAUCGGGUACACCGCUCGAGCCGCAGGGCAACCUCCGGCCUAGAUGGAUGGUCAUCCGCGACAAAAUCCGGCUUACAGGCCUGCUACGGAG
RNAcentral lists this RNase P RNA (205 nucleotides) under Actinomycetota bacterium. Its description in RNAcentral is "partial RNase P RNA component class A". It matches the Rfam family "Bacterial RNase P class A", at positions 146 to 367 of the family's 367-position model. From Rfam's summary of the family: Ribonuclease P (RNase P) is a ubiquitous endoribonuclease, found in archaea, bacteria and eukarya as well as chloroplasts and mitochondria. Its best characterised activity is the generation of mature 5'-ends of tRNAs by cleaving the 5'-leader elements of precursor-tRNAs. Lineage: Bacteria; Bacillati; Actinomycetota. The record is from RNAcentral.